AACGAACGCUGGCGGCAUGCCUAACACAUGCAAGUCGAACGAGACCUUCGGGUCUAGUGGCGCACGUGUGCGUAACGCGUGGGAACCUGCCCUUAGGUUCGGAAUAACUCCCCGAAAGGGGUGCUAAUACCGGAUAAUGUCUUCGGACCAAAGAUUUAUCGCCUUUGGAUGGGCCCGCGUUGGAUUAGCUAGUUGGUAGGGUAAAAGCCUACCAAGGCGACGAUCCAUAGCUGGUCUGAGAGGAUGAUCAGCCACACUGGGACUGAGACACGGCCCAGACUCCUACGGGAGGCAGCAGUGGGGAAUAUUGGACGAUGGGCGAAAGCCUGAUCCAGCAAUGCCGCGUGAGUGAUGAAGGCCUUAGGGUUGUAAAGCUCUUUUACCCGGGAUGAUAAUGACAGUACCGGGAGAAUAAGCUCCGGCUAACUCCGUG
This 433-nucleotide ribosomal RNA is filed under the name uncultured bacterium. Its description in RNAcentral is "partial 16S ribosomal RNA". It matches the Rfam family "Bacterial small subunit ribosomal RNA", at positions 29 to 507 of the family's 1533-position model. The record is from RNAcentral.